This 1146-nucleotide ribosomal RNA is filed under the name Triticum aestivum (bread wheat). RNAcentral describes it as "partial small subunit ribosomal RNA". The record is from RNAcentral. Lineage: Eukaryota; Viridiplantae; Streptophyta; Magnoliopsida; Poales; Poaceae.
AAAUGCGACGCCUUCAAGAGCUGGCUGCAGGAGUACGCGCAGAAACUCGGCGUCGCGGCUCCGGAGUAUCACACCCUCAAGGAGGGGCCCUUCCAUGAGCCCAUCUUCAAGUCCGCGGUCGUGAUCGAUGGCGCCAAGUUCGACUCGCUGCCCGGAUUUUUCACCCGGAAGGCCGCAGAGCAGUCGGCUGCUGAAAUCGCCCUCAUGGAAAUUGUCGAGUCCAUCCCAACCAUUGGGAGAAUCCCAGCAGCUCUAGAAACUGGCCUCUGCAAGAAUCUUCUUCAGGAGUAUGCUCAGAAGAUGAAUUACACUCCAUCUUAUAGCUUGACCAGACAAGCUUCAGGGGUGGCUCCUUUUACCGUAGAGAUUGGUGGUAUACAAUACAUUGGUCCUGCAGCCAGGUCAAAGAAAGUGGCAGAGAUAAAAGGAGCCCGAACUGCUCUUCUUGCAAUACAAGGUCAACUAGAGGGUCGCGGAAGUGGUGCCACAAAGCAUAUUGUAGUUCCUAGCAAAAGGCAAGUUAAGGAGACAGCAAAAAAGCCAAUUGAAAUCCCAAAACCACUUGAGGUGAAGAAUGGUGGUUUCAAGAAGAAAUGGAACAAGAGGAAGUUCAUGAAAAGGAAUCGCCAAGCAGUUGAUGUGGAAAAGAAUGAAGGAAAAAUGGCUGGAGAUGUCAUUAACCCAGUGUCCCGAUGCAUCCAACAAUCAACACAGGAGCCACCCAGCGACACUGUCAUGCUGAAAGAUGAUGAGGAAGCUAAAAGAGUAGUACAGGAGCCAGGCUACGACGCUGUAAUGCUGCAACCUAGUAAGGAAGAACAGGAGUCCGGCAUUGCAGUGCUGAAACCUGAUGAGUUAGAUAGAAGAGUAGAACAUGUGCAAGGCAGUGACAUUGUGAUGCUGCCACCUGAUCACGAAACUAGAAGAGUAAAACAUGUGCCAGGCAGUGACACUGCAAUGCUUCAACGUAAUAACGAAGCUAGAAGCGUAGAACAGGAGCCGCCAAGAGAUUCUGGAAUGGCGCGAUCUAAUAAGGAAGCUGGAUGCAUAAACCAGGAGCUACUCGGUGAGACUGCAAUGCCUCACAAUGUCAGGAAAGCUAGAACCAUGAAGCAUGAUUCACAGCACCGGUGCAGCCUAAUGUAG